RNAcentral lists this ribosomal RNA (567 nucleotides) under Salmonella enterica. RNAcentral's name for it is "partial 23S ribosomal RNA". It matches the Rfam family "Bacterial large subunit ribosomal RNA", at positions 161 to 770 of the family's 2925-position model. Lineage: Bacteria; Pseudomonadati; Pseudomonadota; Gammaproteobacteria; Enterobacterales; Enterobacteriaceae. The record is from RNAcentral.
AAUCCAUAGGUUAAUGAGGCGAACCGGGGGAACUGAAACAUCUAAGUACCCCGAGGAAAAGAAAUCAACCGAGAUUCCCCCAGUAGCGGCGAGCGAACGGGGAGGAGCCCAGAGCCUGAAUCAGCAUGUGUGUUAGUGGAAGCGUCUGGAAAGGCGCGCGAUACAGGGUGACAGCCCCGUACACAAAAGCGCAUGUGCUGUGAGCUCGAUGAGUAGGGCGGGACACGUGGUAUCCUGUCUGAAUAUGGGGGGACCAUCCUCCAAGGCUAAAUACUCCUGACUGACCGAUAGUGAACCAGUACCGUGAGGGAAAGGCGAAAAGAACCCCGGCGAGGGGAGUGAAAAAGAACCUGAAACCGUGUACGUACAAGCAGUGGGAGCACCCUUUGGGUGUGACUGCGUACCUUUUGUAUAAUGGGUCAGCGACUUAUAUUCUGUAGCAAGGUUAACCGAAUAGGGGAGCCGGAGGGAAACCGAGUCUUAACCGGGCGUUAAGUUGCAGGGUAUAGACCCGAAACCCGGUGAUCUAGCCAUGGGCAGGUUGAAGGUUGGGUAACACUAACUGGA